CAGCAGCCGCGGUAAUACAGAGGGUGCAAGCGUUAAUCGGAUUUACUGGGCGUAAAGGGCGCGUAGGUGGUUAUUUAAGUGAGAUGUGAAAUCCCCGGGCUUAACCUGGGAACUGCAUCUUAUACUGGGUAACUGGAGUGCAGUAGAGGGUAGUGGAAUUUCCGGUGUAGCGGUGAAAUGCGUAGAUAUCGGAAGGAACACCAGUGGCGAAGGCGGCUACCUGGACUGAGACUGACACUGAGGCGCGAGAGCGUGGGGAGCAAACAGGAUUAGAUACCCGUGUAGUCCCUGUCUCUUAUAC
Molecule: ribosomal RNA, 301 nt
Filed under: uncultured bacterium
Lineage: Bacteria
Description: partial 16S ribosomal RNA
Rfam family: Bacterial small subunit ribosomal RNA
Source: RNAcentral